UACGUAGGGAGCAAGCGUUGUCCGGAAUCAUUGGGCGUAAAGCGCGCGUAGGCGGCCCGAUAAGUCCGCUGUGAAAGUCCACGGCUCAACUGUUGAAAGCCGGUGGAUACUGUCGGGCUAGAGUACGGAAGAGGCAAGUGGAAUUCCUGGUGUAGCGGUGGAAUGCGCAGAUAUCAGGAGGAACACCCAUAGCGAAGGCAGCUUGCUGGGACGUUACUGACGCUAAGGCGCGAAAGCGUGGGGAGCGAACAGG
Molecule: ribosomal RNA, 253 nt
Filed under: uncultured bacterium
Lineage: Bacteria
Description: partial 16S ribosomal RNA
Rfam family: Bacterial small subunit ribosomal RNA
Source: RNAcentral